GACGAACGCUGGCGGCGUGCUUAACACAUGCAAGUCGAACGGAAAGGCCCUGCUUUUGUGGGGUGCUCGAGUGGCGAACGGGUGAGUAACACGUGAGUAACCUGCCCUUGACUUUGGGAUAACUUCAGGAAACUGGGGCUAAUACCGGAUAGGAGCUCCUGCUGCAUGGUGGGGGUUGGAAAGUUUCGGCGGUUGGGGAUGGACUCGCGGCUUAUCAGCUUGUUGGUGGGGUAGUGGCUUACCAAGGCUUUGACGGGUAGCCGGCCUGAGAGGGUGACCGGCCACAUUGGGCCUGAGAUACGGCCCAGACUCCUACGGGAGGCAGCAGUGGGGAAUAUUGCGCAAUGGGCGGACGCCUGAUGCAGCAACGCCGCGUGCGGGAUGACGGCCUUCGGGUUGUAAACCGCUUUCGCCUGUGACGAAGCGUGAGUGACGGUAAUGGGUAAAGAAGCACCGGCUAACUACGUG
Molecule: ribosomal RNA, 468 nt
Filed under: uncultured bacterium
Lineage: Bacteria
Description: partial 16S ribosomal RNA
Rfam family: Bacterial small subunit ribosomal RNA
Source: RNAcentral